GAUUUCAACUGAAAAAAGUUAUGAACAACAAGUUGAAUAACUCAUCAAGAUCUAAAACUUUUAUUUUGAUCAUUUCUUCAUCCGAUAAAGUGAUAGUAACAUUGUUCACAAAAUUAACGUAUCUCUUAUCUGGUUUUAUAAACUAUAACACAUAUAUGUAAAAUUUGUGAACAAUGUUACUAACACUUUAUCGGAUGAAGAAAUGACAAAAAUAAAAGUUUUAGAUCUUGAUGAGUUAUACAAUUUUGUUGUUGAUGACUUUUUUCAAUUGAAAUC
Molecule: non-coding RNA, 276 nt
Organism: Oryza punctata
Lineage: Eukaryota; Viridiplantae; Streptophyta; Magnoliopsida; Poales; Poaceae
Source: Rfam